RNAcentral lists this ribosomal RNA (439 nucleotides) under uncultured bacterium. RNAcentral's name for it is "bacterial SSU rRNA". It matches the Rfam family "Bacterial small subunit ribosomal RNA", at positions 340 to 774 of the family's 1533-position model. The record is from RNAcentral.
UACGGGGCGAGCAGUGGGGAAUAUUGCACAAUGGGCGCAAGCCUGAUGCAGCCAUGCCGCGUGUAUGAAGAAGGCCUUCGGGUUGUAAAGUACUUUCAGUCGUGAGGAAGGUGUUAAGGUUAAUAACCUUAGCAAUUGACGUUAGCGACAGAAGAAGCACCGGCUAACUCCGUGCCAGCAGCCGCGGUAAUACGGAGGGUGCGAGCGUUAAUCGGAAUUACUGGGCGUAAAGGGCACGCAGGCGGUUAAUUAAGUUGGAUGUGAAAUCCCCGGGCUUAACCUGGGAAUGGCAUUCAAGACUGGUUAGCUAGAGUCUUGUAGAGGGGGUAGAAUUCCAUGUGUAGCGGUGAAAUGCGUAGAGAUGUGGAGGAAUACCGGUGGCGAAGGCGGCCCCUGGACAAAGACUGACGCUCAUGUGCGAAAGCGUGGGGAGCAAACG